This 426-nucleotide ribosomal RNA is filed under the name uncultured bacterium. RNAcentral describes it as "bacterial SSU rRNA". It matches the Rfam family "Bacterial small subunit ribosomal RNA", at positions 356 to 774 of the family's 1533-position model. The record is from RNAcentral.
GGGGAAUUUUGGACAAUGGGCGCAAGCCUGAUCCAGCAAUGCCGCGUGCAGGAUGAAGGCCUUCGGGUUGUAAACUGCUUUUAUACGGAACGAAAAGCCUCUCUCUAAUACAGGGGGGUGAUGACGGUACCGUAAGAAUAAGCACCGGCUAACUACGUGCCAGCAGCCGCGGUAAUACGUAGGUGGCAAGCGUUGUCCGGAAUUAUUGGGCGUAAAGCGCGCGCAGGUGGUUUCUUAAGUCUGAUGUGAAAGCCCACGGCUUAACCGUGGAGGGUCAUUGGAAACUGGGAGACUUGAGUGCAGAAGAGGAAAGUGGAAUUCCAAGUGUAGCGGUGAAAUGCGUAGAGAUUUGGAGGAACACCAGUGGCGAAGGCGGUUCUCUGGACUGUAACUGACGCUGAGGCACGAAAGCGUGGGUAGCAAACA